AUGGCCACCAACGGCGGCGGCGGCAGAUGUGCCGGUAGCGACCUCAAUUUCGUUGAAUCCGUUGCCCACUCUACCCUUCGUCGCUCUCCCACUGCCCUUCCUCGCUCUCCCACCGCCCCCGUGCUAGGGUUCCUGGCAACGGUGGAUAUUUCACCGGCAACGGAGAGGAGCUCGACGAGCAAGGUGGCAGCAAGUUCAAGCCCACCUCCGAUGACAUUUUUUCACGGCCGGCAGCAUCAUUGGCCCAGUUUGGAUGAUGAUGAACCAUGGGAAGUGAUAUUCCAUUUCCAAGGAUGUGACAAUCUGGAAAGGAGAUUGUAUCAGUGA
RNAcentral lists this ribosomal RNA (327 nucleotides) under Triticum aestivum (bread wheat). Its description in RNAcentral is "partial small subunit ribosomal RNA". The record is from RNAcentral. Lineage: Eukaryota; Viridiplantae; Streptophyta; Magnoliopsida; Poales; Poaceae.